Molecule: ribosomal RNA, 255 nt
Filed under: uncultured bacterium
Lineage: Bacteria
Description: partial 16S ribosomal RNA
Rfam family: Bacterial small subunit ribosomal RNA
Source: RNAcentral
GACGUAGGGCGCGAGCGUUGUCCGGAUUUAUUGGGCGUAAAGAGCUCGUAGGCGGCUUGUCGCGUUGUUCGUGAAAACUCACAGCUCAACUGUGGGCGUGCGGGCGAUACGGGCAGACUAGAGUACUGCAGGGGGAGACUGGAAUUCCUGGUGUAGCGGUGAAAUGCGCAGAUAUCAGGAGGAACACCGGUGGCGAAGGCGGGUCUCUGGGCAGUAACUGACGCUGGAGGAACGAAAGCGUGGGUAGCGAACAGG